RNAcentral lists this ribosomal RNA (252 nucleotides) under uncultured bacterium. RNAcentral's name for it is "partial 16S ribosomal RNA". It matches the Rfam family "Bacterial small subunit ribosomal RNA", at positions 524 to 776 of the family's 1533-position model. The record is from RNAcentral.
UACGUAGGGUGCAAGCGUUGUCCGGAAUUAUUGGGCGUAAAGAGCUCGUAGGCGGUCUGUCGCGUCUGCUGUAAAAACUCGGGGCUUAACCCCGGGCCUGCAGUGGGUACGGGCAGACUAGAGUGCGGUAGGGGAGACUGGAAUUCCUGGUGUAGCGGUGAAAUGCGCAGAUAUCAGGAGGACACCGGUGACGAAGGCGGGUCUCUGGGCCGUAACUGACGCUGAGGAGCGAAAGCAUGGGGAGCGAACAGG